AAAACACAGAAAUAUCAAAACUACCCGAACAGGAGUUGGAGUUUCCAACAGAACUCAUUUUGAUCCAAAUAUUGGGUCAGCCGCUACGAGGAUUGUCGCGCCUUGAAGUACCUCAAAUUAAGAGCUUAAACUCCUAAAUGGAGUCUAGUAUUCCUUAUCCUCAUUCGGUUUAUUAUACUUAUUAUGUUGUGUUUUCUUAGAAUGAUAAGUAAUUCUUGUUAUUGAACUUAUUUAAGAUAACUUUAUUUGAUUAUUGAUUUAUGUUGUUGUGACACCCCAAGUUUUUGAUCUUUAGACCCUUCAAGAGUUGAGUAAUUGAAUUAGCCAUAAAGUGAAGUUAAACUGCUAGUGACAACGGGCCCUGACUACGACUCAUUGUGAGACAUCACGAGUCAUUGGGAUGGACUCAUUGUCACAACAAAGAGUUACCACGGUGCUCAAUCCCUGACCAUGAAUCUUCGUUGUGACUCACGAUGUCGGAUAACGAGAUGUGACAAGUGACUCAUCAUCAUACAGUUAGGGACCAGAACUUUGGUCCUCGAGUAACGACUUCGGGCAACGACUUAUGGUCAGGCUUGAGGAGUCAUUACCUAAGUCGUGAUGAUUUUUCUAUAUUUUUCCUGCACAUAUAAUUAGGGUAGUUUUGGUCUUUCUCUCCAUUUACACUAUUCCCACGACUUAAAAACACUCUAAUUAACCCUCUAACAUCAGUUAUGAAAAAUUAAAUAUUAACGUUUCUUCUUUAACUCCCAAGGCAAGAGACACUAGGGUUUUACAAUAAAUUUAACAUUUAGGAUCCAAACCUUGAGUCCUCUUCAAUUUAUUGAGUAUUUCAGACAUGUCUCUCUUCCCACACUUGUAUUUUACUUUAUGGGAUAAAUUUAUUCAACAUUCAGGUGA
Molecule: long non-coding RNA, 900 nt
Organism: Capsicum annuum
Lineage: Eukaryota; Viridiplantae; Streptophyta; Magnoliopsida; Solanales; Solanaceae
Exons: 2
Source: RefSeq, a predicted model, not a curated record